AAACUUCACCAAAUAAUAGCUGUUUGUAUUUUGGCUGCUGCAGGAGCCAUUUUAGUACCUGAACCACAAGCCACCAUGGACGUGCACACUGAUACCUACUUGGGGAUCAGGAGAGUGUACAUGACAACAGCAAGGGAAGCAGCAGCACAGGAGACAGAAAUAAAUAUCUUCCUUCAAUAGAUGAAAAUGAAAAUACAGAAAAAAGAGAAGCAGCUCAAAGAGUUGUCAGCUGAUAGGCAGACGCUACAUGGAAUGCAGUUC
This 261-nucleotide long non-coding RNA is filed under the name Homo sapiens (human). RNAcentral describes it as "HSALNT0267373". Lineage: Eukaryota; Metazoa; Chordata; Mammalia; Primates; Hominidae. The record is from RNAcentral.